Molecule: ribosomal RNA, 274 nt
Filed under: uncultured bacterium
Lineage: Bacteria
Description: partial 16S ribosomal RNA
Rfam family: Bacterial small subunit ribosomal RNA
Source: RNAcentral
AUACGGAGGGUGCAAGCGUUACUCGGAAUCACUGGGCGUAAAGCGCGCGCAGGCGGCUAUUUAAGUUGGAUGUGAAAGCCCACGGCUCAACCGUAGAACUGCAUCCAAAACUAUUUAGCUAGAGUGUGGGAGAGGAAGAUGGAAUUAGUUGUGUAGGGGUAAAAUCCGUAGAUAUAACUAGGAAUACCAAAAGCGAAGGCAAUCUUCUGGAACACUACUGACGCUGAGGCGCGAAAGCGUGGGGAGCAAACGGGAUUAGAAACCCUAGUAGUCC